AACGCGAAGAACCUUACCUGGUCUUGACAUUGUAAGAACUUUCCAGAGAUGGAGUGGUUGCCUUCGGGAACUUACAUACAGGUGCUGCAUGGCUGUCUUCAGCUCGUGUCGUGAGAUGUUGGGUUAAGUCCCGCAACGAGCGCUACCCUUUUCCUUAUUUGCCAGCGGGUUAAGCCGGGAACUUUAAGGAUACUGCCAGUGACAAACUGGAGGAAGGCGGGGGCGRCGUUCAGCCAUCAUGGCCCUUACGACCAGGGCUACACACGUGCUACAAUGGUCGGUACAAAGGGUUGCUACCUAGCGAUAGGAUGCUAAUCUCAAAAAGCCGAUCGUAGUCCGGAUUGGAGUCUGCAACUCGACUCCAUGAAGUCGGAAUCGCUAGUAAUCGCGGAUCAUAAGGCCGCGGUGAAUACGUUCCCGGGCCUUGUACACACCGCCCGU
This 441-nucleotide ribosomal RNA is filed under the name Acinetobacter sp. AS_AAU2. Its description in RNAcentral is "bacterial SSU rRNA". It matches the Rfam family "Bacterial small subunit ribosomal RNA", at positions 958 to 1397 of the family's 1533-position model. Lineage: Bacteria; Pseudomonadati; Pseudomonadota; Gammaproteobacteria; Moraxellales; Moraxellaceae. The record is from RNAcentral.